GACCUCAAGGCAGAGACUGGGAGAGAAAAGUCCCUCUCACUGUAAGAGAAGAUCAGGUUCAAGACCACUUGAGGAACCCAAACUUACAUAAGCCUAUGGGACCUGAUGACAUGCAUCCCAGAGUCCUGAGGGGAUUGGCUGAUAUCGUUGCCAAGCAACUCUCCAUGAUAUUUGAAAAGUUGUGGCAGUCAGGUGAAGUCCCCAGUGACUGGAAAAAGGGAAACAUUGAACCCAUUUUUAAAAGGGGUAGAAAGGAGGACCCUGGAAAAUACAGACCUGUCAGCCUCUCCACUGUGCCUGGGAAGAUCAUGGAACAGAUCAUCCUAGAAGCUAUGCUAAGUCACAUGGAAGACAGGGAGGACAUUUGAGACAGCCAGCAUGGCUUCACCAAGGGCAAAGCUAGUGGCCUUCUAUGAUGGAGUGGACUACUGAUGUCAUCUCUCUGGACUUCUGUGUGGCCUUUGACACAGUCCCCCACAACAUCCUUCUCUCUAAAUUGGAAAGAUAUGGAUUUGAUGGAUGAACUGUUCAGUGGAUAAGGAAUUGGCUGGAUGGUCACAUCCAGGGGGUAGUGGUCAAUGGCUCAAUGUCCAGAUGGAGAUCAGUAACAAGUGGUGGCUCUCAGGGAUAUGUAUUGGAACCAGUACUGUUUAAUAUCUUCAACAACAUAGCAGGAUUGAGUACACCCUCAGCAAAUUUGCAGAUGACAUCAGGCUGAGUGGCACUAUUCAUAUGCCUGAGGGACAGGAUGCCAUUCAGAGGGACCUGGACAAGCUCAAGAAAUGGGACCAUGUGAACCUCAUGAGGUUCAACAAGGCCAAGUGCAAGGUCCUGUGCCCAGGUUGGGGUAUCAGUGCAGGCUGGGGGAUGAAGGCAUUGAGAGCAGCCCUGUGGACAAGGACUUGGGGUGCUGGUGGAUGAAAAGCUGCACAUGAGUCAGCAAUGUGCACUUGCAGCCCAGAAAGCCAGCUGUAUCCUAGGCUGCAUAAAAAGAAGUGUGGCCAGCAGGUCAAGGGAGGUGAUUUUGCCCCUCUACUCCACUCUGGUGAGACCUCACCUGGAGUACCACAUCCAGCUCUGGAGUCCUCAGUAGAAGACAGACAUGGACCUGUUGGAGCAGGUGCAGAGGAGGGCCACAGAAAUGAUCAGAGGGAUGUAACACCUCUCCUAUGAGGAAAGGCUGAGAGAGUUGGGGUUGUUCAACCUGGAGAAGUCUCCAGGGAGACUUUAUUGAAGCCUUUCAAUACUUAAAGGUGGCUUAUAAAAAAAGAGUAGGACAGACUUUUUAGAAGGUCCUAUAGCAAUAGGACAAGGGGUAAUGGUUUUAAACUGGAAGAGGGUUGAUUCAGACUAGAUAGAAGGAAAAAACUCUUUAUGAUGAGGGUGGUGAAACACUGGAACAGGUUUCCCAGAGAGGUGGUAGAUGCCCUGUCCCUUGAAACGUUCAAGGUCAGGUUGGAUUGGGCUUUGAGCAACCUGAUCUAUUUGAAGAUGCAGGGAGGUUGGACUAGAUGACCUUUAAAACUCCCUUCUAACCCAAACCAUUCUAUAAUUCUAUGAAAAGAGUGGCAAAGCUGCAUGCAUAAACAUACACACAGGUCCUAAGAUACAUAUACAUACAUACCACAAAGUAAGCAGCAAUCUUUCUUAUAUGUUUUGGGGUGCUUGGAGGCUUUUGCGUUGUUAUUUUUCAGUUCCUCACAGUCACUCGAAAUUAAAUUCCCUGACUGACUUUCAUAGUCAUGUCUUUCAAGCUACAAAGCAGCUUAUGCAAUUAGGGAGAUAAAACUCAGAGGCUUUUGUUGGGAAAGAGUUAGGAUUGGACAAUGAAUGUAUUUAACUUUUGAGGUUUCCUUUGGGUACUUUUCCUUAUCACAGGUCACCUAUUACAUAGACAAUGUUUUGGUAUAGAUAUAUCUAUCUAUCUGUAUGUAAGAAUACAUAUAUAUGUGCAUACAGAAACUGUCAAUGAAAUUUCAGUUUUGCCCACCUAUAUGACGCUGGCCUCAGAGCUUUUUUUUCAAGUAUGCUUGGCAUGAUUUUAUCAUUCCAUUCCAAUUUAUCAUUUCCGCUUUUUCCCUUAGGUUAACUGAUAAUCUGUAUGUCAUCAUUAAAAACUUUUAAGUAUCAGUUUGUUGUUAAAGUAUGCUGAAGCAGAAUAACAUAUCCAAGCAACUUCUGCCAUGCUAUGUUCAAGAGGUGGUACCAAAUAGGCACAAAUGCACCUUAUUCUGUAAUUUAACAAGGUGAUAGUUCUUUAAGAUUCCUUCAUUCUCACAGUAUCAAGUGAAACCUUUGAUCAAAACUAAAAUUACUUUUUUUAAUCCAUGAGGCAUGGAUAACUGAUUAGUAACUCAUUUUAAAUACUACUCUCCCUAUGGAGUAGAAUAUCAGUAACUCACACCUAUGAGAGGCCUGGCUUGCAAUUUAGUUUUCUGCAUAGAUAAAAAACUAAAGAAGGGAAGAAAAUGUUUUUCUGUGUCAGGAACAUCCUUCAAUUAUUAUUAUGAUAAUUUUACCAUAAUAAAAAGUGUCACACAAUAUUUUUUGGAUCAAUUAAUGAUUUUCUGAUCUCAUAGGAACUACCAUCUUUCUGACAAGUAAAAAAAAAACAUUAUUCUUUUGUAUGAACUGAGUAGUAGUAGGAGAAAGAAGAGAAUGAGAGGAAUGUUGUAUGGGGCUGCUUAGGGCUCAUCUAAGACAUUACUGUAUUAAAAAUAAGGCUUAAAAUCCUCCUAGUCCUGAAACAGAAACAGUGCUACUGACCUACUAUACACAACUUUAUGUUCUUCUAAAUGGAUGUGCAUCUUGGACAGUCAACUCUUCUGGCAUCUGACAUGACUGAGCAUAAUACUGCCUUUCAGGUUUUAGAUGCAGAAGAAAUCAUCAAUGACAGAAGUUUACUCGCUUACCUCCAAAAAAGAAAAGCGAACAGAGGACUGCAUGGACUGCAGGUGCUUGUUGGGGUUGGGCUCAGGCUCCUUGUUGUGAGACUGCAAGUUAAAAUAAUGUCAUCUCUAGUGAACAGAAGGUUUAGCAAGAGUCACAUUUUUUAGUGUAGGAGUUACAAAAGGAGUUUCAGGUAGAAACAGUCUUCCCGAACGAUUUACAGUAGCUACACAGUUUUUGACUUAAAAUGAAAUUGUUUUAAAUAAAACCAAAUAUGAAAUCUG
Falco peregrinus (peregrine falcon) is the source of this 3173-nucleotide long non-coding RNA. RefSeq lists it as uncharacterized. The record is from RefSeq and is a predicted model, not a curated record. The transcript has 2 exons. NCBI's taxonomy places the organism in Eukaryota, Metazoa, Chordata, Aves, Falconiformes, Falconidae.